CCCCUUGCCCAAUGCCCCCGAUCCCCACGGCCGCCGCACGGUCUCGCUCCUCCUUCCCUCCCGCCGCACCCUCUCCUUGCUCGCAGUCGCCUCCUUCCCACCUUCGCCCGAGCUUCGCCUUCCUCACCCGCCUUCUCCUCCUUGCCAUCGGCGGAAGCAGUGAGCAUAGGGACAACGGCAAUGGCUGGACGCGAUGAGCUUGCCUCUGGUGGCGCCAGGAACCUGCACGCAAAGGGCGACCCCAUGGAUCCGUUCCUGAAGGAGAGAGAAGAUGCGGAGGGAGGAUUGAAGGACAGGGGGAGGUAGGCGUGCUGGGACGCGGUGGUCUCGCCGGCGAUGACAGGGCUGACCGGCCGGAGUUGGAUCGAGAUCCCGGCUGGCACGGCUCAGCUCCAACUCCCUCUUCCACCUCUCCGCUCCCCGACACUCAAAUCUGGCUCUUCUGCACACAUCAGUAGCUAUGGAAAGAAAGCUUGUAGUGGAGUGGGUUCCUUUGUAUGAUCUUGGAAGAUGAUGUCCUAUGAAGCCCAUUAGAAAGCAUGGCAACGGCUUAAGGUUAGCGCAUUUUGAGAAGCCAACAGAUCGCCACCUACUUCCUUAGGCUGACAAUCACCUGCGGGAUAAAGUGCGAUGUUUUGCCUGAGACAGGAUCAAGGACUGGGCCAACGUGGUCGUCGCGCACGGACCAGUGUAGCCCAUUGGCACUGGUAAAGUUGUAUCGGCGGCUCAGGCACAUGAAGACAAGGUUGCUCAUCAGUUGGAUGUGGAGUUGCUUCUGAGCUAGGACUCUCCCAUGAUCACUACAUAGAAAAAGAUACAUCCAGUUUGGUUUCUAAUGUCUGUUUUGGCCUAAGCAAAAAAGGCGUUGCUGAAGCUGGAGUCAUGAUGGCGUUAGUAAUCUUGGUGAUGCUUCUUAUACGGAAAACCAACUUGUUUUUGAUUAUCCUAUGGGUUUUUUAUCCAGAUGUUGCAUAUAGGAGUAUUGUGGAGCUAAUAAUAUUUGAAUCUGAGCUAGCAUACUAUUUCAAUUUGAGUUCAAAAAUUAUAAACCUUAGUAUUUGUUUUCAGUUAUCGAUCUUCUUCCCUUCUCCUUUUUUGGGUCACUUUUGAUAGCUUCUUUCAUUCUGUACAUUUUAGUUGCUGCCUCAAGCCUUGGCUCUUUUUCUAGACUAGGCCUCAAUUUAUGGGAAAAUGCAGUCUUCAUUUACUGAGUUAUAUUUUUGUCUUGGUUUCUUCCAGGUCCCUCGUACAGUGGUUCAGAAAAAAAAACCUAUCCAAUGGAGAUGAUGCAUGAGGAGAGGCAAAGUCAUGAUCCAUAAAGCCCUAUGUUAUUCUUUUUCUCACUGUGAUUUUACUUUUUAUGGUUGGAU
Molecule: long non-coding RNA, 1370 nt
Organism: Triticum dicoccoides
Lineage: Eukaryota; Viridiplantae; Streptophyta; Magnoliopsida; Poales; Poaceae
Exons: 6
Source: RefSeq, a predicted model, not a curated record